This 235-nucleotide ribosomal RNA is filed under the name uncultured bacterium. RNAcentral describes it as "partial 16S ribosomal RNA". It matches the Rfam family "Bacterial small subunit ribosomal RNA", at positions 96 to 334 of the family's 1533-position model. The record is from RNAcentral.
CGGCGGACGGGUGAGUAAUGUAUGGGGAUCUGCCCGAUAGAGGGGGAUAACUACUGGAAACGGUGGCUAAUACCGCAUAAUGUCUACGGACCAAAGCAGGGGCUCUUCGGACCUUGCACUAUCGGAUGAACCCAUAUGGGAUUAGCUAGUUGGUGAGGUAACGGCCCACCAAGGCGACGAUCCAUAGCCGACCUGAGAGGGUGACCGGCCACAUUGGGACUGAGACACGGCCCAA